AGCGCUGUGGUGCAGCAGGUUGAGCCUCUGCCUGGGAUGCUGGCUUCCCACGUGAGCUCGGGUUCAAGUCCCGACAGCUCUA
Molecule: transfer RNA, 82 nt
Filed under: Oryctolagus cuniculus (rabbit)
Lineage: Eukaryota; Metazoa; Chordata; Mammalia; Lagomorpha; Leporidae
Rfam family: tRNA
About the family: Transfer RNA (tRNA) molecules are approximately 80 nucleotides in length. Their secondary structure includes four short double-helical elements and three loops (D, anti-codon, and T loops).
Source: Rfam by way of RNAcentral